This 466-nucleotide ribosomal RNA is filed under the name uncultured bacterium. RNAcentral's name for it is "partial 16S ribosomal RNA". It matches the Rfam family "Bacterial small subunit ribosomal RNA", at positions 28 to 507 of the family's 1533-position model. The record is from RNAcentral.
GAUGAACGCUGGCGGCGUGCUUAACACAUGCAAGUCGAACGAUGAAGCCCAGCUUGCUGGGUGGAUUAGUGGCGAACGGGUGGGUAACACGUGAGUAACCUGCCCUUAACUCUGGGAUAAGCCUGGGAAACUGGGUCUAAUACCGGAUAGGAGCGCCUACCGCAUGGUGGGUGUUGGAAAGAUUUAUCGGUUUUGGAUGGACUCGCGGCCUAUCAGCUUGUUGGUGAGGUAAUGGCUCACCAAGGCGACGACGGGUAGCCGGCCUGAGAGGGUGACCGGCCACACUGGGACUGAGGCACGGCCCAGACUCCUACGGGAGGCAGCAGUGGGGAAUAUUGCACAAUGGGCGAAAGCCUGAUGCAGCGACGCCGCGUGAGGGAUGACGGCCUUCGGGUUGUAAACCUCUUUCAGUAGGGAAGAAGCGAAAGUGACGGUACCUGCAGAAGAAGCACCGGCUAACUACGUG